Non-coding RNA from Callorhinus ursinus (northern fur seal), 628 nucleotides. The record is from RefSeq and is a predicted model, not a curated record. Lineage: Eukaryota; Metazoa; Chordata; Mammalia; Carnivora; Otariidae.
UUCCCUCGGCAGAGAAGAGGCGAUGGCGGCGCUGGCAUCUAUCGGCGCCCUGGCGCUACUCCUGCUGUCUAGCCUCUCCUGCUGCUCCGCAGAAGCCUGCGUGGAGCCCCAGAUCACCCCUUCCUACUACACCACCUCGGAUGCCGUCAUUUCCACUGAGAUUGUUUUCAUCGUGGAGAUCUCCCUAACGUGCAAGAACAGGGUCCAGAACAUGGCUCUUUAUGCUGAUGUUAGUGGAAAACAAUUUCCUGUCACCCCGGGGCCAGGAUGUGGGGCGUUAUCAGGUAUCCUGGAGCCUAGACCACAAGAGCGCCCACGCAGGUACCUACGAGGUCAGAUUCUUUGAUGAGGAGUCCUACAGCCUCCUGAGGAAGGCUCAGAGAAAUAAUGAGGACAUUUCCGUCAUCCCGCCCCUAUUCACAGUCAGUGUGGACCAUCGGGGCAUCUGGAACGGGCCCUGGGUCUUUACCGAGGUGUUGGCUGCAGCCAUCGGCCUAGUGAUCUACUAUCUGGCCUUCAACGCCGAGUCACAUCCAGGCCUGAAGGUGGCACCCCUGGGCUAUUGCUACUUUCAAUAAACGGUUGCUGGCUAUAAAAAAAACUAAUAAUAAUAAAAAAAUAAAUUUAA